CCUACGGGGGGCUGCAGUGAGGAAUAUUGGUCAAUGGGCUUACGCCUGAACCAGCCAAGUCGCGUGAGGGAAGACUGCCCUAUGGGUUGUAAACCUCUUUUGCCAGGGAGCAACGCCGGCUACGUGUAGCCGGACUGAGAGUACCUGAAGAAAAAGCAUCGGCAAACUCCGUGCCAGCAGCCGCGGUAAUACGUAGGAUGCGAGCGUUAUCGGGAUUUCUUGGGUUUAAUGGGUGCGUAGGCGGAAUGCCAAGUCAGCGGUAAAAUCGCGCGGCUCAAGCGCGAUCCGCCGUUGAAACUGGCGUACUUGAGUGUGCGAGAGGAAUGUGGAAUUCGAGGUGGAGCAGUGAAAUGCGUAGAUAUCACGCAGAACAUCAGUGGCGAAGGCGACAAUCCGGCACCCAACUGACGCUGAGGAGCGAAAGCGUGGGUAGCAAACAGGAUUAGAUACCCGUGUAGUC
RNAcentral lists this ribosomal RNA (460 nucleotides) under uncultured bacterium. RNAcentral describes it as "partial 16S ribosomal RNA". It matches the Rfam family "Bacterial small subunit ribosomal RNA", at positions 338 to 795 of the family's 1533-position model. The record is from RNAcentral.